Molecule: non-coding RNA, 572 nt
Organism: Pelobates cultripes (western spadefoot toad)
Lineage: Eukaryota; Metazoa; Chordata; Amphibia; Anura; Pelobatidae
Source: the annotation of a GenBank genome assembly
CUAGCACUGAGUAGGAUACUAUAGUGUUAGGAAUACAUAUUUGGAUUCCGACUCUAUAGUGUUCCUUUAACUGUCAUGGUUAUACAAAAAGUGUUUAUAAACCAUUUUAAAUGAAAGUUUCUGGUGUCAGAGAAUCUGAUCAGAACAAAUGUACAAUUUUACACAGCAAAACAAUAGACUUCUUCUUCAAAGAGUUUUGGCAACACAGCUCAAGUUCUACGUGCACAAAAGCUAUAAAUAUAUAGCUCAAGAUCCAAUAUGUAACAGGUAGUGUUUCCAGUCACUGCCAUGAAUAUAUCUAAUGCUAUUUAAUGGCAAGUCAAUGGUGUGUUAGAGAAGGACUAAUUCUUUAUAUUGUUACCAGCUGAGUGUUGGUAAGUAGUCAUGGCAUAUCAAACAGUUGAAUACAAUGCCCCAGUAGAGAUCACCAAAUUAUUUCUUUGGAAGUUGCUAACUUAUUCUAAAAUGAUAAUCGCAGCUCAUGGUUUUAACUAUUGUACAGUAUUAUAGAUGAUCUAUUUUUAUAUAUAAUAUUACAAAAAAGUGUGCAGUAACUCACAAGCUUGACAAUG